Molecule: ribosomal RNA, 494 nt
Filed under: uncultured bacterium
Lineage: Bacteria
Description: bacterial SSU rRNA
Rfam family: Bacterial small subunit ribosomal RNA
Source: RNAcentral
GAUGAACGCUAGCGGCAGGCUUAACACAUGCAAGUCGAGGGGCAGCACGUCUUCGGAUGGUGGCGACCGGCGCACGGGUGCGUAACGCGUAUACAACCUACCUUAUAGAGGGGAAUAGCCCAGAGAAAUUUGGAUUAAUGCCCCAUAGUAUUAUUGAAUAGCAUUGUUUAAUGAUUAAACAUUUAUGGCUAUAAGAUGGGUAUGCGUUCUAUUAGCUAGAUGGUAAGGUAACGGCUUACCAUGGCGACGAUAGAUAGGGGUCCUGAGAGGGAGAUCCCCCACACUGGUACUGAGACACGGACCAGACUCCUACGGGAGGCAGCAGUGAGGAAUAUUGGACAAUGGGCGAGAGCCUGAUCCAGCCAUGCCGCGUGCAGGAAGACGGCCCUAUGGGUUGUAAACUGCUUUUAUACGGGAAGAAACACUCCUUCGUGAAGGAGCUUGACGGUACCGUAAGAAUAAGGAUCGGCUAACUCCGUGCCAGCAGCCGNGGU